GGCAAGCAACGGCAGACGUUCCCCUCUGCAGCCUUCCAGAACUGACGCUCCGCCGCUGCCACCGGCGAUCAGGGAUCCGUCGUCGGAGGAAAGACAGUGGCCCACCCGCGGAUCCUGCCCGAAUCUGCGGCAAUAACCGCGCGGGGCGGAGGAGAACGUGGGCGAAGGCAUGGUCCCAAAGGCCGUCGCCCACAGCCUUGGCUCUUCCGCGUUGCUGAUCAGCGGCAUCUUUUUAAGCCUGACCUGGGCGGCGGGGGCCCAGCAGGCCGUGCCCUGCCAAGCCCCGCUGCAAUGGGAGGGGCGCACGGUGGAAUACGACCACAGCAGCGGCACGAAUACCCGCGCAGCGGUGACCUACGACAGUCCCAACCAGCGCCUCCGUAUUCUGGAAGAAAAAAAGAGGCUCAUCCCUUGCAAGAAAUUUUUUGAAUAUAUAUAUCUUUAUAAAGAUGCAGUGAUGUUUCAGAUUGAACAAGUGACAAAGCUGUGUUCCAAGAUUGCUUUGAGUGAGCCAUGGGAUCCUUAUGACAUUCCUGACAACUCAACCUAUGAAGAUCAGUACUACAUCGGAGGACCGGGUGACCAAAUUAUUGUCCAGGAAUGGUCUGACAGGAAGCCAGCUAGGAAACUUGAAACUUGGGUGGGAGUUUACACAGUCAAGGAUUGUUACCCGGUUCAAGAAACUUACACCAAGAACUACAGUGUGACAACCUCCACCCGUUUCUUUGAUCUCAAGGUUGGAAUAAGUGACCCAUCUGUUUUCAUCCCUCCCAGCACCUGCCAGACAGCUCAGCCAGAAAAAAUGACUUAUGCAUGCUGAUGGUAGAUCUUGACUUCUAUAUUACAUAUGUAAGCUCAGUAUAUAUUAUUAAUAACUAGCUGCUGAUGUCUAAUAUGACUGUUGCACUUUGCAGAAUGCAGGUUCUAACAGACUAGAAAAGGGAUUUUCUUUGGCGUGUUAUUCUAAAUAUGUUCUCACAUCCUACAAUUGUAAGCAAAUAAUCAUUUAUUUGUAUUUGUUUUAGCUGCUAACAUCCUAUGGCAGAAGCUGUUUCUGUUUUCCAAGAGGUAUAAUGUAUUUCCAAAAGCAUAUUAAAAUAUGAAAUAGGUGUGUUCAUUUUGGAGGGAUGGAAAACUAUAUUACAUGUAGCAGAUAAGGUAUUACCAUAAGAUGGCACAUUGAUUUUCUGAAAGCUGCUAUUGUGAAUUAAUAUUCCUCUUGUUCAAGAUUUUCUGUCAAGGGUCAUUUAAUUUUAGCUGAAUUGCUGUGAUACAGAGAAUGAGAAACAUUUAAAUCUUCUGUUUGCAUAUGAAAAGAUAUAUCUGAUGCUUUUCUUGUCUUCAUAGUCACUAUUAAAACAUUUAUAAUGGCUUGUCAGAAAACUGCACUUGGCCACUUAUAAAACAUUCAUAAGAAAUACAGGACAUGUUAUUACUCUGAUAGUCCAGAAGAGAAGAAAAUAUAGUUAAGAUUAUUGUUAUGACAGCAAGGAUAAGAGUGGUCACCAGGGUUAUCACGGUUGGUUUGGUUAAUUGGAACAAAUUCAAGAGGAAGAAAAAUUUUAAUGGAUGAUACAAAAGCCUGCUCUUUAUAUAAUCAAAAUUAAAUUACAAAUAAGGAACAUAUAUGAAAAGUAUUUUGUUAUUACUGUGGUUAUAGUUCCUCCCCCUGAAAAAUACAUGUGAUGGUAUCAAAUAUGUAGGGCUGUCUAAUCAGUCCUACAAAAAUCCAGACAAAGAUGGACAAGAGACAACUAUUCUUCCUGAAGGCCCUACAUGAUUUGUUCUGCAUAAAGAAAAAUGGAAGCGUAGGUUGAAAAAAGAUAGACUAAUGAAUUAUACUAUUUGGGUCUAACUCAAAG
Molecule: RNA transcript, 1862 nt
Organism: Candoia aspera
Lineage: Eukaryota; Metazoa; Chordata; Lepidosauria; Squamata; Candoiidae
Gene: EPDR1
Gene name: ependymin related 1
Exons: 4
Source: RefSeq, a predicted model, not a curated record